CUCUCUCUCUCUCUCUCGAUCAAGUAUAUAUGAGUUUUCUUCUAUAAAUGUAUAUAUCUGUCUCUCACAAAAAAAUUUCUCUACUGCUCUCUCACAAAUCUCCUCCUGAAAUCUGCUCCACCAUCGUUGAUCGACGCCGCCAGCCCACCAGCUCGCCUCCCUCUAAUCAUUAGGUUGAAGAUUCAGAGGCUAAGAAGAAUCUGUGCACUCAGCAGGAUUUUCCCCACAUGAAUCCUUGAUUCAGAGUAGUUAGUGGUACAUGUAUUGGUUAUAAAAAAACAAAAUAUUUGCCCUUUUUGUUGCAUUUUCAAGAUGCUUGGGUUCUACUUUUUGUUAGUUGGAAGCUACUCUAUCUGCUUGCUCUUUGUUCAGGAUCUUUUCCUGCUUUCCUUUGGAAUGAAAUUAAACUUGUUUCAUUAAAAAAAGAAGAUAAAUUUUUGUUGUUUUAGGAUUUGGAGAUUUCUUCUUAUCGACAUGCUCCUAUUGUACCCCCAUUUAUGGCUCAUGGAAAUGGAAUCCACCCUGUGCCUUUUCUUGAUCCAUCUAUACCAUGUGGCAGCCCUACAGGAGUUGGUGGAAUUUACAAUUUGAGAGGAUCACCACCGCUGUUGAUUGAACUAUUGUACAGGAUAGUUUUGGAAGACUGCAUGACAAGGGAUAGUGUAUGAUGUAAUAUGUUUAUCAGGAUUUUUGUAAUAUGUUCAUUAUUUUGGGGGAUAUUGUUAAGCAGUGAAUGACAAAGAUAUUAAAUGAAGACUUUUUUGAAUGA
This is a long non-coding RNA of Alnus glutinosa, 769 nucleotides long. RefSeq lists it as uncharacterized. Lineage: Eukaryota; Viridiplantae; Streptophyta; Magnoliopsida; Fagales; Betulaceae. The record is from RefSeq and is a predicted model, not a curated record. The transcript has 4 exons.